UACGGGGGGGGCAAGCGUUGUUCGGAAUUACUGGGCGUAAAGGGCUCGUAGGCGGCCAACUAAGUCAGACGUGAAAUCCCCAGGCUUAACCUGGGAACUGCAUCCGAUACUGGAUGGCUUGAAUCCGGGAGAGGGAUGCGGAAUUCCAGGUGUAGUGGUGAAAUGCGUAGAUAUCGGGAGGAACACCAGUGGCGAAGGCGACUUCCUGGCCUGUUCUUGACGCUGAGGCGCGAAAGCUAGGGUAGCAAACGGG
This 253-nucleotide ribosomal RNA is filed under the name uncultured bacterium. RNAcentral's name for it is "partial 16S ribosomal RNA". It matches the Rfam family "Bacterial small subunit ribosomal RNA", at positions 524 to 776 of the family's 1533-position model. The record is from RNAcentral.